AUCACCUCAAUUUGAGCAGUCACCGCGGCAUCAGCUUGUUCUUCCUUUUCAGUGAGGACAUUGUUGGGAACAAAGCCUUCUUCUCCUCGACUGUUCCUCACUUUCCACCACAGCUUUCUCAUGUCCAGCAACUACGGCAUGAACCAAACGCAGUUUUCAUUUGAUGUUUUUAAUAUUUUCUCAGAAUUUUUGUUUGGAAUGGAUAAGAGUGAAAAACCUCCACAAUUUCGCCUUUCUUGAUGGUCAGCUCCCUGUUGUUUCUGGAGAUGAAGUCGUGCAUGACGCGCAUGCGACGUAGCUUCUUCUCAGGUAGUCUGGCGUGGUCACAGACGUAUCAUGGAUUUAUAAACACAUUACAGAGUAUUCAUCUUCCAGGACCACAAAGAUAGGACAUAUGAGGGUUCACCUUGCUGGGCAGGGGCUGUCGAACUGCUUGCACCCUGACCGGGGUCUCGAUGGGGGCUGCAGGGGGUUCCCUGAGCUCAGGAGGCUGCCAACCAUCAAAAAACUGCAGGUUAUACGUUGGGAUAUCUUCGUCAUCCUCGGGCCAUUUGGUGCUGUGCAAAAGGUUAAUAUUGUAGAUCAACUAAGUCCUUCACCUGGGAAUAUUCCAAGCGUCUCCCAAAGACUGCCACAGCUUGUCCUCCUCCUCGGUCGCCUCCUCACUCAUCAGACAGAUGCACUGAGGAGUCAGCAGGGGAGCCACGAUGCUCGGGGGAACGUCCUCAGAGCACUGAGAUACGACCUAUAAGACAGUCUAAGUGGUCACAAACUACACUUGCACACUUCAAAGAGAUUUAAACCAAUUAAUAGAAAAAGUGAAAACGUCAAAUUGUGCUCGGACACUCUAGAGCUGAUGUACAGUAUAUGAAUAACGUAGGACAAAUUAGAAAUGUAGGAAAUGUGAGAGUUUGGGAGGAAUAAAAAAUGUGGGGAAAAAAAACUGUUGUUCGGACAGUGGCAGCUUUUUAAAAAAAAAUUAUAUAGGAAUUUUCUCAUGUAAAAUCCACAAAGUCCAACAAAGUACAGUGGUUUGAAAAAGUAUUUGAACCUUUUGGAAUUUAUCACAUUACUGCAUAAAAUCACCAUUAAA
Long non-coding RNA from Corythoichthys intestinalis (scribbled pipefish), 1093 nucleotides. RefSeq lists it as uncharacterized. NCBI's taxonomy places the organism in Eukaryota, Metazoa, Chordata, Actinopteri, Syngnathiformes, Syngnathidae. The transcript has 3 exons. The record is from RefSeq and is a predicted model, not a curated record.